GGUGAUAGGUUUCAAGAUGGUGGUCGGUGGUGGAGGAUCUGGUUAAUUCUGGUUUUUUCUUCUAUUUUCUGCUAGACAUCAGUGAGGUCGUGUUGGUUUGAUUGUUUAUAUUGACGAUAUGAUUUGUGUAUGUUUCGGUUCCUAUGUGCAGAAAAGAUUAUGAUGCGAAGAUAAUUGUUGAUGUGGAUAUUUCUUCUUUUCUCCAUACCUGGUUAUUGUUUGCAAGUUAUUUUUGCCGAAGAUCGAAAUGCCUAGGAUUAUUUAGGAUCACUUUCUGGUUUGGUUUAGAUUUGGUAGAUUGUUCACCAUGUAGGUAGAAUAUUUUCUGGUUGAUUUGUGGUGUUAGGUAUUGGAAUAAGCAGAAUCAAGGCUUCAGAUCGAAGAUAUUUAAAUUGGUUACGUUGGCCUUCUGUUUGAUUGGGGAAUUUGUGUUUUUAAUGAAUUGCGAUGCAGCUUCACACAGAUCUGAUGAUUGGUUCAUUGAUUGAUUUCAGCUCUAGUAGGAAAGAGAGGGUGAUUCCUGAUAUUAACGCUGUGUUGCGGAUAGCUUGAUAAUCGAUUUAAUAUGAUAUUUUUGGAUUAUUGCAAUUUAUUCCUCUUUUCACGUCUCCACGGAGACAUCCAUUCAAGUUCGGUGAUUUUAAAUGAGUUUCUCUCUCUUGGGUCAAGUGUUAUUUCGUCCCUCCUUCAACAAGUGUUCACAGUUUGAUCAUUUUUUUAAAUCUUUAAACUCUGUUUAAAAUGAUUGUAUGAUGGCUAGCAAAAACGGUUCUUUUGGUGGUUCCUUUCUGUAUCUUUUCAAGAUUGGUGGUUUGUGGUUUGAUUUUCAGGAUCAGGGAGCAUUUUAUGUAAUCCUUUUAAACCUGUCGGCAGGGUAGCGAGGGAGAUUUUCUUUUACCCUCUUUUUUGUGCCCUCGUUAAUUUAAUUGGGCAUGUAGAACUAGUUUCUGUGUUUUGAGCUAACUGUUCGAAGAGAUGUUGACUGUGUAUGAUAAUAACCUAAUGUGAUAAUAUUUAAAUUUUUAGUGCCUCCAAUGUAUCAUACUAUGGAGCAUAGUGUGAUCAAACAUGACGUUGUUUGGGAAGUAUUCUCCUUUUUUGGUCUGGAUUCUCUUAAAAAUGAGAAAUAUCUGAGCUUUGUAAGGCAUCCUGAUCUUCUGCUUCUUUAUCAGGAAGAUAGAUAUAACAAAUUUUACUUAAAAGACAAGAAUUUAUAGUACUUCCGAGUAUAAUAGUAGUAAAUGAGUUUUAGAUGUUUGUUUUCCAGGAUCUGUAUGUCAUGGACCAAUAGUGAUGCAUAAGUGGAUUUGAGUGGGAUUCCAGCGACUGGCAGCUUGUGCCUUGUGGAUAGGCACGAAUAGGAAGUCUUUGUUUGAGUUUUGGUGUAAGAUGUGUUUGAUACAAUGGUAUUCAGUCCUUCAUAGAAGAUGCUCUUUUUUGAUACAAUGGACUUGAGAUGAACUGUAUAUAGGGAGAAGUUGAUGUGAAAGGGAGUAUUCAUCGUCUUCUUUUCAUGUUGGUGGUUUUUAGGUGUAAGCUUUUUUUUUGUCUGUUUCUAUUGGUCCACAGGUGGUGUUGUGGUUAAUUCUGAUAACCAUAGUAAUUUUUCAGGAUUCUGUUAAUGUAGUGGACUAAUGGAUUUGGGGAGAGACAUAUAGAUAGAGAUGUUCUUUUUGCUGCACUCAUUUGGUGUUAGCUACAGCUUAGAUGUAAGCUUGAAUAUUCUAUCUACAACUCAAUAUUUGAUAAUAUCUGUACAGGCUUGAUCCGGAAGUCUUUUUGUACCUUGGUUUUUGGUUGAGUUUUUCUACUUGAGGUUCAAAUUUGUUCUUCUCAAGACCUGUCCAUCAACUUUGAUUAUUCCAAGCAUUGAUGAUUCCCUGGUGUGAUUUCCAGGUCCAUGGAGCAUUUUGGUGGUUGGAUGCUAUGUUCACGGUGAAACCUGGGUAGUCAGGAAGAUUUUUCUUUUAUCUCUCCUUAUUUUUCUGCCAGUUAAAUUUAUACCUCCAUACACUUUAGUCACACAAAACUAGUUUCUGAGUUUCUAUGUGUGUGUUUCCAGCUUUUGACGAAGAUAUGGAGCAGGGAGUUUUCUUGCCUCUUCUGAUGUUUGCUCUUCCCCAUUCUUGUGUGAAUAUUGUUAUAAUACUAGAUUUUCUUUAUCAGGUUUCCUUGGAUCCAGUGGAGCCUUCUCCCUCUCUCUCUCUUCCCUUUUUUUUGCUUGUUUGAGAAAAAUAUUUGGCUCCUUUCCCUUAAUUAUCUCUUCUUAAAUGUGUACAGACAUACACACAUUGCAUAUCCAAUCCUUUAUUUAAUCUCUGCUCCUUCUCAUCUUGGUUAUGAAAUUGAGCAGGCUUUUCUAAUGAUUCCACGUUUGGAUUUGUUUGUCGUUCCUUGUGUUUAGUAAGCUUGCUAUGCUGAUAAUAUAUUUUGUUCAAUCCACUUUGAGUUCUACAGUAUCAUUUAAAGCAAUGAUGUUUUGUCAUUGACCUUUCAAACUUCUUUUGUGUUAGGGGUAGGAGCAAUUUAGCACUGUUCCAUCUUGGUUAUGAUCUUUCCUCAUGUUUUUGCUGAUUAUCUAUUUUAGGAUGUUUGUUUGGUUAUUGGUUCAAAGAUCAUCAUCUGAAGCUACAUUUGGGUUUUUUUNNNNNNNNNNNNNNNNNNNNNNNNNNNNNNNNNNNNNNNNNNNNNNNNNNNNNNNNNNNNNNNNNNNNNNNUUUUUUUAUUAAGUUGGUUUUUGCUUUUUCCUUCUAGUAAAGUGUUAUUUGUACUUCCAUCAACAAGUAAUCUGUGUUUUUUUACGUCAUGUUAAAUCCUUUUUCGAGGCGUGGAUUAGGAUCAUUCUUGGAUAUCAUCAUCAUUACUCUUUGCUUAAGUUCCUUUGUCCUCAGUAUUGGUGGUUUGUGGUGUGAUUUCCAGGAUUUCCAGGAUAGUGGAGCAUUUAUGUAGUUCAAUCCCAUGUGAAUUGUGAAGGCUGAAACUUGUCAACAGGGUGUGGUCAGGGAGAUUUUUUUUAACCCUAUUUUGUGCUUCUCUUAAUAUAAAUUUAUAUAUUCAUAGUUACUAGGCCAUAUAGAACAAUUUUCUGAUUAUGUAUGUUUGCAUUUGCUGUCAACUUAUUGUUUUGAGGACGAUGUUUACUAGGAAUGAUAAGGGAGUUUUCUUGCCUUCUAGAAUAUUGAUUCUAUUCGGUUUAUGCCGGUAAAAUCAUGGAGUGGGUACUCUCUAACUUUUAGAGUUUUUUUGGUCUCCUGAUCCAGGUUCAUAUACCCCAGUUUUUUUUGCCUAAUCAAAUAUAAGGAGCCUAGUGUGAUAAAAUUAUGGUAUUGAUUUGGAAGUAUUCUCUCUUUUGCCUGGAUUCUCUUAAAAUUCAGAGAUAUUUGAGCCCCAUUCCCUUGAGUUUCUGCAUCCUUAUCUUCUGCUAGGCUUCGAACUUGCAUUUGCUUUUCCAAUGAUGCCAUAAUUGUUUUAGGGACUUGGAGGAGUGCAACAGGCUUGAUUAGGAUGUUAGUUCCUCAGUCAGAGUUCAUAAAUUUUAAUAUAAGAAUGUGAUGUCCUUGUGUAAGAACAGUAAUAAAUAAGUUCCAGUCUCUUUCUUUUUUCAGGAUCUGCAUGAGUGCAUUGACAAAUUCAUUGUUUAUGCUUGGUGAAACCUGUCGGCAGGGUGGUCAGAGAGAUUUUUGUAUUUUGCACUUCUGUUGAUUAGAUUACUAUAUUCAUAGUCAUAGGCUUGUAUAAUUAUUUUCUGAUUAUGUAUGUAUGCAUGUGUUUUUAACUUAUUGUUUGCGGCAGAUGUUUACUGGGAAUGAUAAGGAAGUUCUCUUGCCUCUGGGAAGUGUCCUCUCUUGUGCCUUGGUUCUCUAAAAUGUGAGAGAUAUCUGAGCUGCAUGCACUUUGGAUCGGUAGUGAUGCAGGAAGAGAGCAAUGUAAUUAAAGUGUUGGCCAUGAUUUCUUGUUAUGUUGGUAUGGUGCAUGAAGCUUAAGGUGAUUAAGUAGGAUGUUGCCUUUUGUCUUGUCUCUGGGGUCCUAUGGCUGGGUGUUAACCUGAGUGUGCCUCCAGUGAAGUCUUUGUGGCAUCUUAUGGAUGGUCAUGAACGGGAAGUUAUUGCUUUGGUUUUGGUUGAAGGUGUGUUGGAUACAAUGAUAUUCUGCCCAUAAGUGUCUACCCAAAGAUGCACUGUGAAAUUUCCAGUCUCCCCUAAAAUAAGCUUCUGGAUGGGGAAGUUCACGAUUAUGGAGGGAGUAAUUGUUGUCCUCUGCUCAUAUUGUUGAGGUUCUGCGAGUAGUAUCAGAGUGUUGUGUUUCUGCUUUUAAUAAUCUUGAAUUCUUUUUGCAGUUUCUGUUCUCAUUCAUGGCGUGGUGCAGAGCAGUGUUCAAAUGUCUUGUUGGAUUUUCAUUUUUAUUUGUUCUUUUAUUGGUUCAUAGACGUUUGGUACUUGGUAGUCCUUGAUAUAAUGGAGACAUAUUUUGGAAGAAAGAGUUUUUGCGUUGGUUUGUUGUUGGCUUCUUGAUACCGGCAUUGACAAGAGCUUGCACCUUCUUUCAAUGGUGGAAUAUCAGAGAAUAUGCGCUCAGGCUUUACCAGGAAGUCUUUUGUGCCUUGGUUUUUGGAUGGAAGUAUUUCUAAUUGACUUUCAGAUUUCUAGUACUUAAGCAUAGCAAUUUGGAUGCAUGAUUGAUUUGUGGUGUGAUUUCCAGGAUUGUGGAGCGUUUUUUUCUUGUUCAAUCCUGUGCACAUGGUGAAACCUAUUUGUUGUAAUUCUGAUGUCUUCCCUUACCAGGUUUUCUUGAUUCCAGUGUGUAGUCAUGGAGCAUAUCGAGAUCAAUUGAAGAUUCUAAUCAAGAAGUACCCUCAUUCUUUUUUCUCUAACCUUUUUAAGGAACUUUUAAAGUCUAAGCUGCAUGUGUAUAUAAAAUUCUCCCAUUGAUGUUUCAACUACUUAUAUACCCUACCAAAGAACAUGAUUGCUAUACUUUUAUCUUUUGCAUGUCCCUAGAAGUUAUAUGCACGAGUGCAUUGAAAAGUUCAUGGGCUUUGCAUUGACCAAUAGUGAUCCAGGGUGUUGUGUUUGAUAAGAUAAAUGUGUUGGCUGUGAUUUCUUAUUAUGUGAUCAAGUAGGAGACUGCCUUUUGUUUCUAUUGUCUCUGGGUCCUGUGGCUGGCUUCUGCUCUUAGUACCAGUGUUGUUCUGCUAUCCAGCCUUCCAGUGGUUCUUCUUGCAGCAGCUUGUGAACAGGAAAGUCUUUGCCAAGUUUUUGGUUUAACAUAUGCUCUGAUACAAUGAAAUUGUGUCCAUCAUAUUCCAUUAUGUGGUCUCACUCAAAGAUGCACUUUCUUAUGUCUCCAGGUUCUCUUGAGAUGGACUGUAUUAGAGGGAGAAGUUGAUGUUUGUGAAGGGAGUAUUUAUUGUCCUCAGCUCAUGUUAUGUUGGGGGAUUUCGGGUGUAGUUUUCUUGUUUGUUCUGGGUUCCAUCAAUGUAGUGGACAUAACAGGUUGUGUUGAGAUUUGCAUUCAUUUGGUGUCGGCUCUUUGGUUAGAGAUGUGAGCUUGCAUCUUCUACUACUCAUUAUUUGCAAAUAUGUGCACAGGCUUGAUCAGGAAGUCAUCUGCACCCACCUUGUUCUUUGGUUGAAUUUUGUUCUUCUAAAAUACUGAAGUAUUUGGGGUCCAUCAACGAUGAUUUUGUGGUGUGGUUUCCAGGGUCAUGGAACAUUUUUGUGGUUGAAAUCCUAUGUGCAUGGUGAGAGCUGUUGGCUGGUUAGGUUAGUUCGUGGAGACUUUUUCAUUUCUUUUUUUCUGGCAACCAAAUUUAUAUUUCUGUACUCAUUAGGCACAUUGAAUUUCUUGGUCUGUAUUUUUGUGUGUCCCCAGCUUUUUAUUUGAAGAGGAUGUUUAAGUAAGAAUGAUCAGGGAGUUUCUCUUGGCUCUUCCUAGUGAAUGUUGUUAUAAUUUUGAGAUCUUUCCUUGACAGGUUUCCUUGAUUCCAGUGUUAAAUUGUGGAGCAUAAUGGUAUCAAUUGGUGAAGGUCAAGAACUACUAUGUUUUUUUUUGGCUGUUUGAGAAAUAUAAUUGUGAUGCUGAAUGGGAACAGUUGAUGGUGCUCAUCUUGGAAGUGUUCUCUCUCUUUUUUUUUUCCUUCUUUUCGUGGCUGUUUGAGAAAUAUUUUGCACCGUUUUUUUUUGGGGUCUCCCUUAGUUUGCUGUUUGAGAAAUAUGUCGUCUUUAAUUUGAUCUAUCCCCUCAUCGUCUUGGCUAUGAGCUUGCACUUGCUUUUUUCCUGCGACUCCAUGUUGUGUUGUUUGAUUUAUGGUUCCCCUUAGUAAUGCUGUAUGGGCAUGUAAAUUGUAUUUUGCUCAAUAUGCUUUGCAUUAUGUGCAUGAGAUACCAUUUAAAGCAAUAAAAUCUCUUCUCAUUGAUCUUUCACAUUGAUCUUUCAAUUUCAUUUUUAGAUGUUUCAACUUCUCUUUCCUAAUUCUUAAAAAGGCUUGGCUAAUAUAGGCGUUUUAGCAUGUUAAAAUUUCAGAUUUAUUGAAGGUUUACCAACUGUGAUGUUUUGAGGAUUGAUGAUUUGUGGUGUGAUUUUCAGGAUUGUGGAGCAUUUUUUUUGUAUCCCAUGUGCAUGGUGAAACCUGUUGGCAGGGUGCUCAGGGAGAAUUUUUUUUUUUUACUAUCUCUAGUUUUGUCUGGCAAUUAAAUUUAUGCAUCUCUAUUUAUUUAGGCACAUAGAUUAGUUUCUGAGCUUGCAUUUUUGUAUGUAUUUCCAGCUUGUUAUUUGAGGAGAACGUUAAUCAGGGAGAACUCUUGCCCUUUCUAAUAUCAGCUCUUACCUUUAUAUAAAUGGAAUUCUUGAGUGAGUAGGGUUGUAAUUUUGGGAUCUUUCCUUAUCAGGUUCUUUCUUUUUUUGGUGUCACUUUUGUGUUUUUGGUCUUUUGAACUUAUUUCCAAAUCUUUGAAAAGAUCUUUUUUUUUCUCCCUUCCUUUCUUGGACUUUCAUUUUUGGAAAAUUUGCUAAUAUUUUAGUACAUUAAUGUAUUGCACUUGGGUAUGACGAAUUUGAUAGGAAAGUAGGAGUAAGUACUCCAUCUUCUUUAUGAUCUGCUUUUCCAGCUUUUUCAGGACAGCACGAAGUGUAAAUUGUGAUAUCAGAAACCCAGUUUAAGGAGCUCAGUUGCAUGGGGUUCUCUUGCUGCAAAUAUAAGGUUAUUUACGUUUAAGCAUUAAUUCCUGGUUUUCUUGCUGGCUUUAGUGUGAGCUUGAGUUUCUUCAAGGAGUUGUUUUGACAGCAUGUGGAUUGGGAUGAACAGGAAGUUCUUGCAAGUGUCUUCAGUUUGAGGUGUUCAAAAUUUUUUCUUGACAACAGGAAUGUGGGUUGGAUACCCCUUAGGCUCUAAGUGUCCUGCGAUAUUCUUCUGCCUUCUCCAAACAGCACAGCAGCCAGACAGACACAACCUUCUCCAAACCGCAGCCAUCGUUCGAGUCUCCAACACCAAUGCCUCCACAGGGUAUGUCUCGUCUCAUAUCCUCUUUCUUGUUCUUCCUUCUUCGCACUUCUCCUGAUCUCCUUCUUCUUCUCCGCCCUUCUUCAGUUCUUCUCCAGUUUCCUCCCUUCCUUUCCUCUCAUUAUUCUUCUCUCCACAUCAUUGUAUGUCUCCACUCUCCAGCCAAUCUCCAAACAUAAUGGGUGCUGUUGUUAUGAAUCUUGUGAUAAAUCAUGAAUUUCAAUGUUUGUUUAGAAAUUUAUUAUAAUGGGUUUUGUUGAUUUAUGAUUUGUUGUUCAUUUAUUUAUGAGAAUAUUUGUUUAUUUAUUAAGAACAACACUGAAUGUAUCAUGAGUGUUAUUGAUUUUAAAUUGCUACUUAUUCAUAAUUUAUUUUAGUGGCAUUGAUGAUGUUGAAGUUAGUCAACUAUGUGAAUAUUUAUAUUAUAUAUAUUUAUAUGUAUAUAUUUAAAAUAUCUAAAAAUUUUAGCUUCUUGUCGCCCUUUUAAAAAAGUCAUCUCGCUUCUUGCCUCUCUCCUAGGGUGAUAGGAGAUCUUGUUGCCUUAGUGUUGCCUCUAGCCCAAACUACAAAGAUCAACACUGCCAGAGUUUUAAUACAGUGAUGUUGUGACCAUAAUCCUGUAAUUUAUUUUGCUUUAUUGUUGGUUGCAUUGUGCAUCCAAUUUUAAGUUCUUAAUCAAGAGUUGCAUAUGUCUCCAGGUUCCCCACACAAUUUGAUCUCGUUAUUGUUUGGCUUGUUAUUUGUGAUGGAGCAUCUUUAGACGGUCUACAUACUGUGUCAACCAACUUCAGCUGUUAACAUGGGUUUGCAAGUCUCAUCCUUUUCUCUCUUUGGUCCGUUCCCACUGUUAUGCAGUUCCCGCAUGUUCUGAAAUAACAAGCGUUUCCUAUAUUUCUGGUGGUUUGCUGACUGGGUGGCAUAUGGGUUGGAAUAUAAGUGCAAGUCUUGUCCUCUUCUUUGGUCCAUGUCCAGGUUUAGCUGCUGCAAUUGGAAACUAGAGAUGUGAAGAGAAUCCUGAUUUAACUUUUUGGUUCAUGCUCCUACUCUCAAUCUGUAUUGUAUUGCGAUUUUAAGUCUGCAUGAACCGGUUUCCUUCUCUGAGCUUGCUUCCCUCUCUCUGCAUGCGUCUGCAUUGAUGAUAAGCAAUUGAGGGUGUCUGUCCCCUUCUCACAUUCACAUUUCUUUUACUGUAAUGGAAUAGAAGCUGAAAGUUGUAAUUGCUUCUCAGCUAUGAUCUUGUUCCUUCAGUGAUGUUCAGUGAGGGAUAAGGCACAAUUAGGCUUCAAGAAGGUGGGUGUAUUUUCUGGUUUUGCACUAGUGUAUUGGUGUUUUCUCACGUGUAGUUAGCUGGUUUCAAGAUGUUGGGAAGGAGAACAGAUGUCUUUUGAUGUGUUGUUCUGUUGCUGCAUCUGUAUUUUCUGGUUGUGGACUAGUGGUGUUGGUCUUUUCUGUGCCACGAGUGCUGAUGAUUUUGCGUAUUUGUUUUUUUUCCCGAGUUCUUUUUCUUCCUUUAGUGGUCUUCAUUUGUAUGGUUUUUAAUGCAUGCAACUCCGCCUGUGUUAUCUAGUGCACAGCCGGUCUCAAGCCCGGAUAAAGGAGGAGAGGCUGCAAAUUGUUUGAACUGAUGCUUGGUAGGUGAUAGUCAUUGCCUGACGCUUUGAUUUGGGAGCUUUCAGCUAACUCAUCUGUUACUUCUGAUGAUGAUGCAUUGCCUUUAUUUAAAUUCACAGACUUCUUUAGAAUCAAAGAUUUUAUAAGAAUUCACCUAUUAAAUUCGUCUUUGGAAUGAAAGGAUGUCUUUUUAACCUGAAAAAUCUGAGCACAGUGUACUUUGCAAAGCCAUUGCCCUCAGCAACCUGAAUGCCUAUUUUAACUCCCCAGACCGUUAAUAGCUCCCUUGCUGCAUUCUUUAUAGCGACUGCAAUGAACUGUUGCCCUCUGCAAACAACGUAAAGAUGCAUAUCAAGGGACCCAGCUAGGGUUGAUGCUAGGGUGUAUCUUGUGUAGUUACUCGAAGCACAUGUGCAAGAGACAGCACGAAGCACAUGCACAUGCACAAGAAACCUAAUAAGCUUCGAUGUGAAUACUGCAGGCGUUCUUGAUCAAUAAUCUCUUCUUAACUCGUUUAAUUUUUAAAUCAAUUUUACCUUAAAUUUAAUAAUAUAUAUUUAAAUCCAGUUUAUUAGAGUGCAAUCAGCCCAAAUACUCAAAUAUUUCAUGGGUUGCCAGGGAUGUGUUAUAGAAUCAAACAGCUGUGAGAUAGUGGCAAAAAUACAUAAUCUUGUUAGUUGAUUACCAGAUUAAUAGAGUUAGUAUUAUAUCAACAACAACUACAUUUAUUUAGAUUUGAGGUUUAGGAAUCCACCCCGGAUGUGGAUUAGGUAGCCAAAACCUUUAUUCAUGGCAACAGAUGUAUUAAACUGAUCCUUUUAACAAAUGAGAAGCACAGCCCAAUAUCAAAACCAAAAGCAUACUACUUGAAACAUAUUUCAUCUCUGCAUGAUGCUUUGUCGGAUUAUAUUCAUCACUGCAGUUUCAGUAUCCAUCCUGCUGGUGAUUCUCUUAUCGGUAUUUUCUCCAUUACCUCGCAAGGCUUCAUCAAAGGAUCUCUCCAGGCCCUGGGUGGCACUCUCACUCUACAUUCAGCAACCUCACAUCUCAAGCACUAACGUGCAGCAGCCAGCUGCAUGGCCAGAUUCUGGAGCGUUUAUCUUCCAUCGCACUCUCACAGAAGGACCUGAGAACACUUCCAGGGUUGUUGGGAAGGCCCAGGGUUUCAUUAUUCCGAUUGAAAAUUUUGCACGUUCUGGUUUCAAUAUUAUUCAUCUCUCAUUCGAUACACCUGAGUACUCCGGCAGCCUGAAUGUUCAGGCCAGGCAUGUUGCACAAAGAGAUAGAGAAGAACUUACGGUGGUUGGUGGGACUGGUUCCUUCGCGUUUGCUCGUGGGCUUGCUGUUUUUGCUCGGAGGGAUGAUCUUCCGGCAACUUACUAUGUAAAGCUUCAGCUCAGAUUUCCAAAUCGAUCUCAAAUAAUUCCAGGAUGAGGUUGAGUUGUUUGUCCAUGCUUGUGAAGGUUUUCUUCUUGAGAUUGCAAAGUCCAGUUCUGAAAAGAUUUAUCGAGUCAAAUUUAGAUGAAAACGAAGGAUUAUAUAUAUGCAAGUUUAAUUAAUUGACCUUUUAAUCUUUACAAGAAAUUAAAGCCAUGUAUUUUAACAUCAAAUAUUUUUUAUGAUGUGUGCCUUGAUUUUCUCUAUUUGUGAAUAUACGUGGUGAAAUGAUCCGAAAAUAUCCGGAAACUGGACCGUUAUCCGCACUAGUUUCAGACUUCAGAUAUACUUUUUUUGUAAAUAAUAAAAUUUUAAUUUUAUAUAACCUAUUUUAUAAUUUUAUAUAAAAAUAUAAUAAAAAUAGAAUUUAAGUAUAUGAAUAAUAGUUUUAUAGUUUUUUAAUUUUAAAUAGGAAAUUUAAUUAAUUUUUAAUUAAAUUAAUUUUAUUAUACUAAUUUUAAAUUAUUAUGAGUAAUUUUAAUAAUUUAAUUAUUUUAUUAGAUAUAUAUAUAAUUUUUGUUAAUUUUAUUUUAAUAGAUAAAAUAAUUUAAAAUAAUUAAUAUUACUUAUUAUUUAAUAACUUUAUAAUUAAUGUAUUUAAUAAAAUUAUAAUUCAUUUUAAAAUUUAAAUAAAAUUAUAAAUAAUUAAAAAAUUAAGAAUAUGGAGAUAGAAUAAUUAUUAAAUUAUCAAUUCAUCUUUUUUUUAAUUAUCUAUAUAAAAGAAAAUCUUAUCAAUUAAUUAAAUUUGAAUACAUAAAUUAAUAUAAAAAUUAAGAAUUUAGUAUUUUUAAAAUACUUUUUCAUAUUAUUUAAUAUUUACAUGUGCCAUUCUAAUAAUUCUUGUCUUAAUAUUAUUUAAAUUUUUAUGAACCAUAAAUAAUAAAAUUUAUAUUAAUUCAUAAUUAAAAUUACUUUUAUUGUAAUAAUUUUAAAUUAUUAUGGUAAUUUUAACAAUUUCAUUUUUUUAUCUUCGGGUUUUUAAAUAUAAUUUUAUUAAUUUUAUUUUAAUUAUAAUAGUUUGAAUUAAUUAAUAUUAUUUAUUAGAUUUAGGUAGUAAAAUAAUUUUAAAUUAGAAUUAUUAUUAUUAAAAUAAUAUUAACUUUUUAUUUAAUAAUAUAUAAUAAUAUUAAUAAUUGAAUUUAUCUCACAAUCUUUACAUAUUUUAAAAUUUAAGAUUUUUAGAUAAUUUUAUAAUUAAUUUAUUUGAUAAAAUUAUAAUCCAUUUUAAAAUUUAAAUAUAAUUAUGAAUAAUUAAAAAAUCAAGAUUAAUGAACUUAGAUAACUCUUCAAUUAUCAGUUCAUUUUAUAAAAUUGUGAAGAUUUUAUUUUUGAUCCUUAUAAAUUAAUAGAAUUAAAAAUUAUUAUUUUAAGAUUUAUUUUUUAUAUUAUUUACUAUUUAAAUAUAUUAUUCCAAUAUUUCGUAUCUUAAAAUUUAAUAUUGUUAUAAUUAUACAUAUCUCUAAAUUUGAUAUUUUUUAAACUAACUAUAAAAUUUAUUUAAAUAAUAAAAUAUAUCAAUGAAUUUAAUAUUUAAAUAAAAUUAUAAAUAAUUAAAAAGUAUUAUUAUAUUUUUAACAAUAUUAUUCUUUUUUCUCUUCAUAUCAUAGAUUACAAAAUUAUAUUUUAUUUAAGAAUUAUUAAAUUAAAAUUUAAUUUUAAAAAUAUUAUAAAAUUACUUAAUUUAAUAAUAAAGGUUUUUUUUUUGGAUUUUAGUUUUUUGUUUAACACGGAAUUAGGUUACAUAAAUUUAAUAUUUUAUUUUUAAAACUUAUACAAACACACUAAAUAAUUUAAAUAAUAAUAAAAAUUAAAAUAAUUUAACAAUAAUUAAAUUUACUGUUUUAUUGUAAUAAUAUAAAUUUUUUAAUGGAGAUUAAAUUUUUUAAAAAACGUGAAUUUCUUUUUUAUUUUUUAAAUUAAUAAUUUUUCAAAUUAGAAGCAUAAAAUAUUUUUUUUUUGGAAAAGAUCUAAUAAUUUUAGCCAUUUUUUAUAAAUUUUAUUUUAAAUUAUAUAACAAUUUUUUUUAAAAUUAAUUUAAAUAUAAAUAGGACAAGUACUUUAAAUUUAUAUAAAUUUUAAAAUUAUAUAACUAAUUAAAAUUAAAUUAUAAAUAAAAUGUAAUUUAAAUUUAAAUAAAAAUCAAUAUUCAAAUAAAUUAAAAUUUUAAAAUAAUAAAAAAGUUAUAUUAUUUCUUAAGCAAUCAAAACAGAGAUCAAUUAGUAAUUAUUAAAUUUAAAUAAGAAUGAUUUAGAAAUUUUUUUAUUAUUUUUCUCCUCACUUUUAUAUAUAAUAUAGAUUAUUAAUUAAAUAAUAUUAUUAUUAAAAAAUAAUUUUAAAAUAAAAAGAAAUGAAUUAAUUAUAAAAUAAAAUAAAAUACAAUAUAUAUUAUAUAUAAGAAAACUCAGGCUAUUAAAAAAAUUAUUCUAUACUAAUUUUAUUCAACAACUAAUAUAUAAUAUAAUUAAGAAAACUUUUAUAAAUUAUAGUUUUGAUAUUCUCUAAAUUUUAUCAGAGAAUAAGUCCAUUAAUAAUUUUAUCGUGGAAUAUCAUUUCAGAACUUAACUUGUGAAUUGCCAUUUUCAUCCUUUUCCUCGUGUCAUUAAUAACUGUAAUCUUUUAGCAGACUUAUAUAGAGUAAUGAAUAUUUUAUAUUUUUAUUUUAUAGUAAUAUAUUAAAAAUUAAUAUAAAAUUAAAUUAAUUAAUUUUUAAUUUAUUAUUUAUAUAUUAUAAACCAAUUUAUAACAAUAAAAAAUAAUUCAAAGUUACAUAUUUGAUGAUUUAAAUAAUAAAUAUUUUUAUUGAUUUUAUAGCCAUACACGCCUUCUUUCUUUUUAAUAUUGCAAUGAUAUAAACUCUUUUUGUAUUCAUAAUCUUUUCUCAUAUCUCAAAUAAUUCUUGAUAUUGUAACCAUAUAUAACUCUUUCUUCUUAUAGCGAUUCAUAAUUUUUUCGAAUAUCUCGCCACUUUAAAAUAAAUUUAUCAUUAUAAUUCAUCUAAUAUAUACAAAUAACGAUAAAGUUAAUGUAAUUUUAAAAUUGAGUUAUUUUAAUUUAAAUAUAAAAUUAAUAUAAUUUAUAAAUUAUAAAGAUUACAAUUAAUACCAUUUCAAAAAAAAUUACGAAUAAUAAAUGUAUCAUAUUUUAUUAUUAAAUUUUAGUUAAAAAUUAAUUAAAUUAAAAAACGAAAUAAUAGUAAAUUUAUUUUUAAUUUUAAUUGAAUUUAACUUUUUAUUUUAAAUUAUACUUAAAAAAUAUUAAUUUAUUGUUUUAAUAAUUAUCCAAUAUUUUAAUAAUCUUAAUUUUAAAACUAAUCUAAUUGUAUUUUCAUUAAUUUAAGUAUUUCUUUUAAUUUUUUUUAGCAAAUUUCAAAAUUCAUUUACAAAAAUUAAAAUUGAAAGAUUUUGUCAUAAUUUACAAUUACAUUUAAAUAAAAAUUAAUUAUAUUAAAAUAUUAAUAAUAGUAAAACUUUUUUUUUAUUUUUUAAUUAAUCAUAAUAAAAUUAAUUGUCAAAUUUAUCAUAAAAAUUUCCUUUUACGAUUAAUAAUAAAUUCAAAUGAAGAAUAAUAUAUUUAAUUAAAAUUUUUUAAAUAUUAAUAAAUUUAUAUAUCUUAUUAUUUUCUUAACUAAUUUCUAAAAUUAAUUUAACAAAUAAAAAAAAAUCUUCAUUCCAAUAUAUAGUAUAUAUAAACUAUAAAAAUUAAAAGAAUUAGAGAUAUAUAAGUGAAAUCAUUUUUAAAUUAUACUUUUUAUUUUAAUUUUUUUAUUUCAUUAAUAUUUUUAAUAUUCAUUAAUUUAAUUUAAUUUUUUACUUUAAAAACAUACAUUUAUUAUUUUAAUAAUAUUCUUAAUAUUUAUCUUGACCCAAGGAGCUCUCCCAAGUCCAACUGGCUGGAUGGCCCAAUUGGCCAUCAUCAAGAGCUGUAGAAGGCUGAAAAUUGGCUGGUGAACGGGUUGAGUUGCCAAAAUCGAAUGUGGGUUGCCUUAUUCGGAUUGGCUAGUAGGCAUGUGGACGGAUUGGCUGGCAAGAUGGAAGGCCUGCCAGGCGGAACUGAUAGGCGGAAGAAAUUUGCUGGGCAAAAUCAGCUAGCAGUAGCUAGCCUGGCAAUAGGCAGCUCAGAUGCCCCAUAGGCCUACCAAGGAAAGCAAGGAGUUCCGUCGGCCAACCACGAAUGCGCUGGGGAGCCUCGUAGGCCAACCACGAACAAGCUCGAAAAUGCAGUAGGCCUAUCAAGGAGGAGUCGGAUGUCCCGUAAGGAGGAACUUAGAUGUUUGGCGGAAUUGAUUGCUGCAGGAAGGCACAAUCCACGGAGAUGGCUUGGGCAGCAGGAUUGUUGGGCCGUGGAACCUCGGCAAGACAGGCAGACGUCCUCGAUUGACCAACGGGUUUGAUAGCGCUAGACUCCAUGGCCGGCCAGCGAACUUGGCAAGAUUGGAAGCCCACAGGCCUAUGAUCUCGCUGAACGCCCAAAACACGGGGGAAAGGCGCGCAGGCCAUGCCUCAGCACUCCCCAGACCCCUGGUAGGCCAACCAGGAGAAGAUGGGUGAAAAUUAGAGAGUUCUCCGGAAAAUUCUAGAACCAACUGGAUGAGUCUAGGCAACACCCCAAUUCCAAGGCAGAUUGAACAAAUGGCAGUCUCUGAUUGGUCCAAAUAAUUCAAUGGCUAAGAUAUGUACACAGGUUGUUUUAAUAAUUUUUAUUUUAAAAUUAAUUUAGUGGAAUUUCAAGUAAUUUAGAUUUUUUCUUUAGAUUUUCUUAAUAAACUCUAAAAUCAAUUUAAAAUAAUAAAAUUAUAAUCUCAUGUAUAUCUUUAUUUAAAAAAUUUGAUGUUAUUGUAUUUUUAUAUAUCUUUUAAGAUUUCCUUAAUAUUUUUAUAUAUCUUUUAAGAUUUCCUUAACUAACUAAAUUUCAUUUAAAAAAUAUAAAAUUAUCAUUUAUUUUAAAUAAUAAGAUUAUUAACUACUUAAGUAAUUAAAUUAAAUAAUUUCUAAAUAACUUAAAAGUUAAAAACAUUAUAAAAAAUCUCAUUAUUUCCAAAUUUUCACUUUUAUAAAUUGAAAAUCAGAAAAGAAAAAUCUCAUUAUCUUCCAAUUAUACUGUUGGAUUAGUAAAUUCUUUUGAAAAUUAAUUAAUUUUAUUUUUUAAUGCAUAAAAAAAUUACUAUAAAAAAAUGUAAUAUUUAAUUUGAAACUAAUAAAAUAAAAAACCAAAGUAUAUUUAUAAGAUAGAGAGUAAUUUUUUUAUAUUUUUAAACAAAAAGAAAAUUCGAAUUUUGAAUUCAAUUUGUUAUAGUAUUAAGCAUAAUCUCAAAUACUGGAAUUUGAAGUAAUCUCGAAGUCCUAUUGAUUGGCAUUCAUCGGCAAACUUCAACUAUGUUUUAAGUUUAAAUACUUAAACCCUCUUCUCAUAUUCUUUGCUUAACCUAAGCAUCGACAAUCUCCAUUGGUGCCUUUCAGUUUAAAGGUUUCGGCUGGAUUUCCAAUUUUCUGGGAUUUACUAGCCAUGGACAAUCCAUUGGAAUAUUACGGUGAUGAUUCAAGUGAUCCUGAUGAAAAUGUGAAUUCUGAUUACGAAUAUGAUGAUGAUGCAAUUCUCUUGGCUGAGAAAGACGAUGAUUCCAACAAGGAUUUCAAGCCACAAAACUGUAGGGUCCUGAAGCUAGAAGAUGUUCGCCAACGCAUGGAGGAAGAUAUCGCUAACGUUUCCAGCGUCCUUUCUAUAUCAAAAGCUGAGGCAAGUAUAUUACUUCGCUACUUUCAUUGGUCUGUCAGCAAAGUUAAUGAUGUUUGGUUUGUUGAUGAGUCUGAAAUCCGUAAAAAACUUGGCUUGUUCGGGAAACCAGAAGUGGUUCAUCAUGAUGAUAGUGUAAUUAUAAUAUGUGGGAUCUGUUUUGAAUACUUUUCAUAUGAUGGGUUAUGUUCAGCUGCAUGUGGUCACCUUUAUUGUAAAGAAUGCUGGGCUAGUUACAUUACUACAUCGAUCAAUAAUGAUAACCUUAGGUGUUUGUCUCUAAGGUGUCCUGAACCGUCGUGUAAGGCGGUGGUGGAUCAGGACAUGGUUGACUCAUUAGUGUCGGAGGAAGACAGGAAGAAGUAUUCUGAGUUCAUGGUUAAGUCUUGCGUUGAAGAGAGCAGGAAUACAAAAUGGUGCCCUGGCCCAGGAUGUGAGUAUGUGAUUGAGUUCAUCGCUGGGGAAGGAAGCUUUGAUGUGACUUGCAUUUGUUUGGCGAGCUUUUGCUGGAACUGCGGCGAGGAAGGUCACCGUCCCUUAGAUUGCGAGACUGUUAAGCUUUGGCUUUCAAAGAACAUGUCGGAAUCUGAGAAUGUCAAUUACAUAUUAUCUUAUUGCAAGCCUUGUCCGAACUGUAAGAGACCCAUAGAAAAAAACCAGGGGUGUUCAAACAUGACGUGCAGGAUCUGUGGUCACAAUUUUUGCUGGACGUGCCUUUGUCCAAAUGGCUAUCAUCUUGCUUGUAACAUAUACAAAGCUUCGGAUACAGAAGCCUCGAGAAAAAUGAUGGGACAGAAAACUAUGCAGAAAUAUAUGCAUUAUUUUGAACGUUGGGAUGCUAAUAAAAGAUCCAAAGCAAAGGCUAUUGCAGGUUUCGGAAAUAUGAAGAAUGAGCAAUUCAAGCGGCUGAGUAAGAAACUGAAGAUUUCAGACGCAGAUUUCGAUUUUUUAUCUAAAGCCUGGCUGCAGAUAAUUGAAUGUAGAGGAAUUCUGGGGUGGAGUUUUGUGUAUGGAUACAAUUUGCCUGACAAUGAGCCUGCAAAGAAGCAGUUUUUUGGCUACUUGCAAGGGGAAGCAGAAUCUACACUGGAGAAGCUUCAUCACUGUGUGGAAAUUGAGAUACUGUCGUUUCUCAAUGUUAAUAAUCCAUUAGAGAAUUUCGAUGAUUACAGAAAUAAGUUAAUUAAACUGACUUUUGUGACAGGAAAUUACUUUGAGAAGCUGGUUAAAGCAUUAGAAAAUGAUCUACCUGGAGUCCAUGAGUCUAGCAGCGGCGGCAGCAGCAGCAGCAGCAGCUCUAAGUAUCAAUCAGAAGAUGAAUAUUGGAUUUGUGCUAGAUGUUCCCAUGCCAAUCCCUACUCUGUCAACAAAUGCAAAGGGUGUCCGGCUGAUGCUAAUCUUGCAAGGAUUAAUUUGGACUAUUUUCUUUUUAUGGUAAACAACAGAACAGAUUAUCAUUUUUAUCCACGUUAGCAACAGUUCUUUUUUACUGCUUUAUUUAUUUACUUGCUAGAUAACCAGGACUGAACCUCGCUGGUGCAUGGCUUUUUGUGUUUCUCAGUUUAAUAUUUUCUAUUCAGGGUUUAUUUAUUUAUUUAUUUACAUUGUUCCAUGAGUUCAAAUUAUCUCAAGAACAGAUGCAUGUGAUUCAUAUCAAGAAGGAAAUAUAUAUAUAUAGAUAUAUAUAUAUAUAUUAUGUUUCUUUGUUGCUGAAGUGAAACUUGCACAAAUAAAAACUGCAAAAUCCUUACAGGCUUAAAGCCCUGAAGAAUUCCUCUACCUAAACCUUCAUAUCAGGAAACCUAAGCUGAUGUUUAUGUGGCAACUUCUUCUCAUACAGAUUUUUUUUUUAUUUGUAUUGUGUAAGUAGUAUUCAGUAGAAUAUACAAAAGAAUGUAAUGACUAACAAAAAGAAUAAGGUAUGGUUCCUUCUUGGCCGUCAUUUGUGCCAAAUAUAUGUGUUAUUUCUCGGCUACCUGCUGUCUUCUUCGGCAACAACACCAUCGGAAAGUUUUGAGAGAAUGAAUAUACAAGCUGAGGAAACCAGCACAGCUCCAGCAAAACAAGCAAGAUCCAAACUGGUGACCAUAGGUAUUUUCUUGAAUUUUUCCAACAAUCCCACUUGAAGUAUCAUCAUGACUGCAUGCCCAAUUCUGGACUUGGCUUGGGCAACCGUCUCCAUUUGCACCCAUGUUGGAAGAGACUGAAACAGACACAAUAAUCAUCAGAAACCUUAGUAUCUAUACAACGUCAGGGAAAACAAAAGGAAAACAGGAUCAUGUCAUGUGUGCAAAUUUGAAAGAAAGGCUCACCUUCAAAUGGUAGAGGCCAAAAAGAUUUGAUCCUGGGAGCAGUUGCCCAUUUUCUUUCAAAUUCUUUGGUUCCACAAAGAUUACAUAUAACCCCACUCCAAACAUAAACAUGGCUGUUCCUACCAAGAACAUGUCUGCAUAACAGAAGGAACACAACUGUUCAGUAAACUGAAUUAGAAUCCCUUUGUUGUUACGCUUCAUUUUGCAAAUGAAAAUUUUUUAAAUUCUUUCGUUCCAAUCAAAGAGAAUGAUUAUAAAAGAAAUCAAUUGAAUUAAAUUCUUGCAGAAUUCUUAAUACUAAACAGAGAAUUAGAAGAAAACGCUGAAGCAUACAAGGCAGAUGUAUAUACCAAUGGCUUCUAUAAGUAGCUGCACGAUUUGUCCUCCCUCUGAACUGUGAGAUAACAUGCUAAAAUAGUUGAAGUAUGCCUCUAGAAUGAGAAAGCAACCCUGCAAAAUUUGAUGUUAAAUAUGUAUCUGUCAGUGUCCAACACAAGGCAGAGUUUCAAGAAAACAAAAUUAAUUUUUUUAAAAAAUACAAGCUUCUCUCUGUUUUUUUUUUUGUUUUUUUUCCAGUCUGUUUUUUUAAAAUAAUUAAUGAUAAAAAUAAUAGAUUACCUCCACAAAACACAAUACUGAACUAAGCAAUGCUCCUGCUGUGGCAAAUAAAGUAAAGAACCGACAAUCAAUUAUGGCCUGCACAAGGAAAAUUAUAUGAUAAUUAAUUAGAAAUCCACAUUGACUAUAAAGAUUUUUAAUAAAUAAAUAAAUAAAAAUAGCUAAAAAUUACAACACUAGACUAAAAAUUGCAGUUCCAGGAAUCUGAAUUUCAUUUCCAGUAGAGCUCUUUGGAUUUGAUUUCCACGGGGAUAUAAUAAUGAAUAAUAAACAAUCACAAUGAAAAAGAACGAACCUUUUCAAUGAGCGACUGGACCUGUAUUUUCCACGGCUUACGUUUAACAGCAGGCCUCAAAACCUUAAACAAAGCAUUACCAACAGUUGCAACCAAAGAAGCCAAAUCUAAUAUUCCCUCAUCAGCCCGUGAGUCUGUAGUGAUACAGCUCUCGCUAAUAGCAACGGAUGCUUUCACAACCGCCGCCGUUGAUUUCCUUUUAUCACCAUCACUUGAAACCAUCUUCUGAUCUCCACCCAACCCAGCAGCAGUAUUCUUAGCGAUGCAUUUCAACGAGGCAGAAGAUGAAGAAGUUGAACCAGGAGGAUGAACAUGAGGAAGAGGCCUAGACGAACGCAGGAGUCUUGUGGUCGCCAUUACUUUUAGUUUUCUUGAUUUUCGGCAGUUGGCCUGUGGAGGUUUUGGGAGUCGAAGUUCUAUGCUUUUGAAGUUUUAGCCAGUUGUUGCGUGGCCUAUAGUGCUUCUUAUAGUGACAGUGAGAAGGAGAGAAGAUUCGAAGCAUAUUAGCCGGAGGGAGUUUUGAGUUUUCCGCGAGAGUUUGGUGUUUGAAAUUUUGACCUUACGUGAUGAUUUUCCAGUUUCCACCAACGUGUGGGGCCAUAAGAGUUGUAAGCCUACCACGUGGCAAAUGGGUAUCUUUUGGAGGACUUUUACUGGGAGUUUUUCUAUCGUCGGCUUGGAA
Molecule: long non-coding RNA, 20183 nt
Filed under: Manihot esculenta (cassava)
Lineage: Eukaryota; Viridiplantae; Streptophyta; Magnoliopsida; Malpighiales; Euphorbiaceae
Description: long non-coding RNA (MESC_LNC003024)
Source: RNAcentral